Molecule: ribosomal RNA, 202 nt
Filed under: uncultured bacterium
Lineage: Bacteria
Description: partial 16S ribosomal RNA
Rfam family: Bacterial small subunit ribosomal RNA
Source: RNAcentral
UGGUUGUUCAAGUCUGUCGUGAAACCUCCAGGCUCAACCUGGAGACGCCACCCGAUACUGCUGUGGCUAGAGUCCAGUAGGGGAGCAUGGAAUUCCUGGUGUAGCGGUGAAAUGCGCAGAUAUCAGGAGGAACACCAGUGGCGAAGGCGGUGCUCUGGGCUGGAACUGACACUGAGGAGCGAAAGCGUGGGGAGCGAACAGG